CGCCCUUCGGGGUGCACCAGGCGCGAAAACUUUACAAUGCCGGCAACGGCGAUAAGGGAACCUCGAGUGCCAGGUUACAAAUCUGGCUGUCGUGAUGCCUAAAAAGCAUUGCAUAGCAAGGGCCGGGCAAGACCGGUGCCAGCCGCCGCGGUAACACCGGCGGCUCGAGUGGUAACCGUUAUUAUUGGGUCUAAAGGGUCUGUAGCCGGCCGGGUAAGUCUCUUGGGAAAUCUGGCAGCUUAACUGUCAGGCUUUCAGGAGAUACUGCCUGGCUCGAGGCCGGGAGAGGUGAGAGGUACUUCAGGGGUAGGGGUGAAAUCUUGUAAUCCUUGAAGGACCACCAGUGGCGAAGGCGUCUCACCAGAACGGACCUGACGGCAAGGGACGAAAGCUAGGGGCACGAACCGGAUUAGAUACCCGGGUAGUCCUAGCCGUAAACGAUACUCGCUAGGUGUCGGCCACGGUGCGACCGUGGUCGGUGCCGUAGGGAAGCCGUGAAGCGAGCCACCUGGGAAGUACGGCCGCAAGGCUGAAACUUAAAGGAAUUGGCGGGGGAGCAC
This 560-nucleotide ribosomal RNA is filed under the name uncultured archaeon. RNAcentral's name for it is "bacterial SSU rRNA". It matches the Rfam family "Archaeal small subunit ribosomal RNA", at positions 319 to 879 of the family's 1478-position model. The record is from RNAcentral.